Molecule: long non-coding RNA, 271 nt
Filed under: Homo sapiens (human)
Lineage: Eukaryota; Metazoa; Chordata; Mammalia; Primates; Hominidae
Description: non-protein coding lnc-GJA1-1:1
Source: RNAcentral
AAACCAGGGCCCAUGGUGGAGGUGUUUAUUUUGGCCAUCGGGGAGGCAACUGUGAAGAUCUCGUUUCUCUGUCUCUGCCUCAUCUUCCUCAGGUCCUGCAGUAGGAAGGCAGCAAGGGCAGCAGCAGGUGUGGAGGCUGCAAACACCGUCACGGGCUAAUCUCUCAGGCCUGCACACAGAGCUUCCAGAUGCCUCUGUGUCCAGUUCCUCCACAGUCUGAAUGGCCAUGUUUCCUUUCCAUGGCUGUAGAAUGAGGUGCAAACACUACAGC